CUGUUGCUUGUGGAUCGUUGUU
This 22-nucleotide microRNA is filed under the name Panagrellus redivivus. Its description in RNAcentral is "prd-miR-7893-5p". Lineage: Eukaryota; Metazoa; Nematoda; Chromadorea; Rhabditida; Panagrolaimidae. The record is from miRBase by way of RNAcentral.